RNAcentral lists this transfer RNA (66 nucleotides) under Phaneroptera gracilis (slender bush katydid). RNAcentral describes it as "tRNA-Pro". RNAcentral also lists the same sequence under 1 other name. Lineage: Eukaryota; Metazoa; Arthropoda; Insecta; Orthoptera; Tettigoniidae. The record is from RNAcentral.
CAGAGGGUAGUUUGAUUAAAAAUAUUAAUUUUGGGGAUUAAUGAAAAAGAGUUUCUUUUCCUCUGA